Molecule: unclassified non-coding RNA, 236 nt
Filed under: Hevea brasiliensis (rubber tree)
Lineage: Eukaryota; Viridiplantae; Streptophyta; Magnoliopsida; Malpighiales; Euphorbiaceae
Source: RNAcentral
UGUGGGCACCGGGUUCUAUAGUCUGCAAAUGCUUUGUGUGUGGCCCUCAAUGCCUUUCUGUAGCCGUCCAAUAAAUUUCCCAUCACAUAGAGCUCGCGCUCAAGCCGGUAAAUAUCAGACUGCAUCUUCUGUUGCUCCUCAAACUUUGUCUUUCUCAAAUGUUCAAUAAAUGUCUCUCUCUGCUGCAGCUCGUGAAGCAAGUAUUGCUGAUUCAUAGUGGCCUGCUGAUGAACCUG